UAGAAGAAUUAUAGGUGAAGGGUAAAUGGCUCCUCAGUGUUCUAUUUUCCCAGCUUUUCUGUAGGUUUGAAGUUUUGCAAGACAAAAACUUGGACAGAAUAAACAAUAAAUAAUAAAAACAAAUGAACAAAAAGUUUUGUUCCAGAUCACAUUUUCUGUGAAGCCUUUUAUGAUAUCACCUCUACAGCCUCCAGUCCCUGAACACACACACAUAAGACAAUGAAUCCCCCUCUCUUCUGGACUCUUUUAUGAUUAUCUGUCUCUCUGACCAAACUAUAAGCUCUUUGAUAUCUGAACCUGUGUGAGUUGUGUUGAAUCUACACAAUGCUAGAUAUUUGGACCUGUGUGUGUCAUGUUGAAUCUACACAAAUGCUAGAACCAUACCAGACACUGUAGCUGACAUGGAUGCUCAGCUGAUGCUUUUUUUAGAUUAAUCAAGUUAAGUCUUGAGGCUUGGAUAGGAUUCAGUAGGCAGACAGGAGCAAGAAAGGGUUUCCUUUUUUUUUUCUUUUUAAGAAAGGUUUUCCAAGAGAGAGGAAUGAUGUGAGCAAAGGUAAGGAAGCAGAAAUGUAUAUUUUGUAUUUGCCAAGAACAUUUGAUUUGUUUGGUCUGAACUAAAGAUUUAUGUGGGUGAAAAUGCCAGGCACACAAUACAUUCUCAAUAAAAAUUUGGAGAAUGAAUGAAUGAGAUUUGAAAGGCAGUUUUAGAUCAGAUUGGAAAGGGCCUUGACUAUUGAAUUAAGAGAUCUGAACUGUAACUAGUUCUUAACAUCCAGGGUCUUUUCCCAGUGGCAGGAAGUGAGUGUGUCCUUGGGAAGCCCCUUAUAUAUUUUCUUCCCUAAAUAAUAAGGAAACGUUGGGGCAUCUGGCUGGCUCAGUUGGGGGAACAUGGGACUCUUCAUCUUGGGGUCAUGUGUUCAAGCUCCAUAUUGGCUGUAAAGAUUACUUAAAAAUAAAUUCUUUUUUAAAAACAAAAAAAAAAAAAAAAAAAAAGAAUGGAAGAAGUGUUUCAGAGAAAGUAAUUAAACAUGAAAUAUAAUCUAUAUGAAACUAGUUUGUUAGUUUAGUUACUGGUCUCAGGGGAACAAUUUAAAACCAUAUCUGUGUGCAAAAUCAGUUGGGAUUUCUAUAGCUUCUCACUGAAUACUGCUAGGAUUACUGAGUCAGCACUGAAUUGUCUUCCUUCUACUUUGAAAUCCAAGUUAAAUGUAUCUUGUCUAUUGGCUAUGUAAUUAUAGACAAGAGUCCACAUUUAUAAAGGAAACCUUGUUACCGUAUGUCCAUUAAUUGCUAUUUU
This 1297-nucleotide long non-coding RNA is filed under the name Canis lupus familiaris (dog). Its description in RNAcentral is "lncRNA (ENSCAFG00040014481.1)". The record is from RNAcentral. Lineage: Eukaryota; Metazoa; Chordata; Mammalia; Carnivora; Canidae.